Molecule: ribosomal RNA, 369 nt
Filed under: uncultured bacterium
Lineage: Bacteria
Description: bacterial SSU rRNA
Rfam family: Bacterial small subunit ribosomal RNA
Source: RNAcentral
GUAGGGUGCGAGCGUUAAUCGGAAUUACUGGGUGUAAAGGGUCCGCAGGCGGGCAGACAAGUCGGUGGUGAAAGCCCCGGGCUCAACCUGGGAAUUGCAUUUAAAACUGUCCAGCUAGAGUCUUGUAGAGGGGGGUAGAAUUCCAGGUGUAGCGGUGAAAUGCGUAGAGAUCUGGAGGAAUACCGGUGGCGAAGGCGGCCCCCUGGACAAAGACUGACGCUCAGGUGCGAAAGCGUGGGGAGCAAACAGGAUUAGAUACCCUGGUAGUCCACGCCGUAAACGAUGUCGAUUUGGAGGCUGUGUCCUUGAGACGUGGCUUCCGGAGCUAACGCGUUAAAUCGACCGCCUGGGGAGUACGGCCCCUGGUUA